Molecule: unclassified non-coding RNA, 337 nt
Filed under: soil metagenome
Description: partial contains 5.8S ribosomal RNA, internal transcribed spacer 2, and large subunit ribosomal RNA
Rfam family: 5.8S ribosomal RNA (bases 1-120)
Source: RNAcentral
GAUGAAGAACGUAGCGAAAUGCGAUAAGUAGUGUGAAUUGCAGAAUUCAGUGAAUCAUCGAAUCUUUGAACGCACAUUGCGCCCCUUGGUAUUCCAUGGGGCAUGCCUGUUCGAGCGUCAUUUGUACCUUCAAGCUCUGCUUGGUGUUGGGUGUUUGUCUCGCCUCUGCGCGUAGACUCGCCUCAAAACAAUUGGCAGCCGGCGUAUUGAUUUCGGAGCGCAGUACAUCUCGCGCUUUGCACUCAUAACGACGACGUCCAAAAGUACAUUUUUACACUCUUGACCUCGGAUCAGGUAGGGAUACCUGCUGAACUUAAGCAUAUCAAUAAGCGGAGGA